Molecule: long non-coding RNA, 2669 nt
Organism: Chelonia mydas (Green sea turtle)
Lineage: Eukaryota; Metazoa; Chordata; Testudines; Cheloniidae
Exons: 3
Source: RefSeq, a predicted model, not a curated record
AGCUGAGGAGAUAAGGCUAUCUCUGCACUGACGGGUACUGCCUUGCAGUUAGUGUUGCCAGCUGUCCCACUGCUUUUAUCAGAUCUCCCGGCUGGGCGAGUUUGUUUGUUCCUGGGUGGAUGGCAAUAUGUUUUGGCUUGUUCAGCCUGGUACUUGAUAAAACUUGUCUGGCCUGAUCUGCAUUCAGGCAUUUAACUUGUAGUACUCUUUCCCUUCUUGUGGGAAUGAAUGUUUCCCAACCAGCAAUCUGAAGCCAAUAGAAGGAACGGAUUGCUUGUGGUGGCUUGUCUCCCAAGAAACCUGGGGGUAGGCGUAGACGGAAGGCCUGAUUCAGCUGGGGGUGUAGAGUUGCUCCUGCAGGUGUAGCACGUAGGGCAGAAAGUCCGCUCAAGGGGGGAAUUGUGGCAGGCCAAAGCAGCCCCAAUCCCCCUGCUGUAGGGAGGCUGGCAUGGGGCAGCUCCGCCGAAAGAGCCAAGGGCUCUUGUCAGAACAGUUAGGCAGUUUCUUGGCACAGCCGACUGCUGGUGAAUUCGAAAGCUGCCCUGCCCUGAUGGAAACCCUGGGGGAGCGCACUGGGAGUUGCUGUCACCUGUCCUUCCUUGGGGAACAAGGAGGAUGUAAUGAAUGCAGAGUCUGCCAUAUGCUCUCAAGAUCCCCCUCUGAUCUGCGGUAACUAUAUGGUUGUUGUCUGAGGCCUGGUCUGCGCUAGAAAAGUAGGUCGGGUUAACGACGUUGGUCGGGGUGUGAAACCUCUGAGCAGCGUUGUUAAGCCGACCUAAGUCCUGGUGUACGCAGCACUAGGUCAAUGCAAGAAUUCUUCCGUUGACCUAGGUACUGCCUCUCGGGGAGGUGGAUUACCUAUGCCAACAGGCCAAUCCCUGCUGUCAGCGGAGGUAGUGUCUACACUGAAGUGCUACAGCUGUGCCACUGUAGUGUUUUAAGUGUAGACAGCCCUUCGUUAUCCCCUGGGGUUUGCAGCUGAGGUUCAGCUCUGUUCCCAGUAGCUUCAUUUAUUUUUGGUGUUUCUCUUGGCAGCACGCUCAUUGCAUCGACCUGGGCUUCUCUUAGUUCUCUUUUGGCUAUCUGAGGUUCCCUUUUUUAAGAGGCCUGUUUCCCAGCACUGAACUCAGUCAUUUGGGGAUUUCAGUUCCCUUUUCUAGCAGGCUUUUAUUUUCAGUUUCCAUCCGGUUCGGUUUUGCCGUUUCAUUCCGUAGGCAAUCAAAGGGAAUUUGUUCUAGUUAAUUUCAUAGCAACAUAUGGUUUCAACAUGACAUCCUCUCCUGCCGAUCUAAGCCGUCAUUUAAGCCCGGAUCCUGCCAGGCGCUGAGUGCCUUCACACCCCGUUGAAGCUGGUGGGAAUUGAGGAUGCUUGGCAUUUUUCUGCAUGCUCUCAGCACCUUGCAGGAUCCGUCCCCUUGGACUCUGGCGCUUUGAUGACCAGGGAACAGACAUUGUUUGCUCUCCCUCUUGGUGGCUCAUGAGCUACGGAUUCUUGUGGCUUUUCUCAAUGUGUUAUCUGAACUUUAGAACCUUUUCCUUUUUUUUCUCCAGUUGAUGAGCCACCCUUGGCAUUUCUGUCACACGUGUGACUCAGACAGACACUUUCUGCCUGGCUUAGGGAUUUCUGUGCGUCUUCAGAUUUGACUAGGCUGCCUUGGAUCAUUGCUGCCCCAUUCUGAUGAAUAGCCCCAGUCACUGAUAAACGUGCUAUCAGCGUUGGCUGCAUCUGGCUGGAUGUAAUGUGCGUGCCGUGAUUUGUCUGUCACCACCAUCACGUUUCGGAAAUGGUAUUCUCCUCCCCUUCCUGUCCAGAACUGUUGCUGCCAUACACUGUUAAUCAGCUGCCCUGUUCCAUCCCAGAGGUGGCUGCCUUUCAGUGUUGUGAUUCCUAUGUACAGUUUGUAAAGCCCUUUGGGAUGAACAGGACUAUAAAUCUCACUGCACAGACCAUCUUCCUCCUUUGCAGAUGCCCUUCAGUGGCGAUUCCUCUGUGACUCACCUUCACAAACCUAGAAAGAACCAGAACAAGAUUAUCAUGUGCUGGGACUUCUUUUGGGGCCUGAGAGUUGAUCCUCCACCAACCUGAUCUCCAGCUAAAGGGGAGACUACACCCUGCAUCUCAGUCUUCAGAUGCAAGUCAGCAGUGUGGAGAUGCUAUGUUGCAGAGACAAGCCAGAGAUCCACCUGUAGUCUCUCCAUCAAACACCGUGGAGGCCUCCCUGCAGUUACAAGCUCCGCUGGCACAUGGCGGGAUUCAUUCCGAGCCCCGCGCAGGGCCCAAGAGGGCAGGCAAUGCACCUCCCCUAACUUGGGGCUGAUUUGGCCCUUUGCUGUCAGUCAGGGCAGCUGUAAUUUACACUGUGGUUGCAACAAUCUCUGUAGACCACUGCACCACUGCCAAAUAGCUGGCAUUCGGGAGUGCCCUGUCCUUUCCUGCUCCUCCACCAACACCCUUGCUCCAGGGUUAUGGAGCUGGCUACACUGACUGUGUGCCCAUUGGAGACGCCUGCUACUCUGGGGGUUUUCCCUGAAUCUAUAUGGCAGGUGGCAGGGGUGAAUUCCUCCCUCCCCAAUGCACCACGAAAAGGGCUCUCUUUAUGUGUAUAUAUAUGUUUCAGCUGUGGUGCUGAAAGGCCUCUUGCUCUGGUCCAGGGCCCCACAAAACCUUA